CGAUGAUGAGUAUUGGUGAGGACCGGGUAAUCUGCAUCCUGAGGUUUAAAGCUUAAUUUACGCAGGAAAUUUGUAUACGCAUAUACGUAUGUGUAUUAGUAUACCUUUUAGUCCUCGGGAUGCGGAUUACCUCGUUCUUACUUACAAUACACGUACUCG
This 159-nucleotide microRNA precursor is filed under the name Arabidopsis thaliana (thale cress). RNAcentral describes it as "miR2111a stem-loop (ath-MIR2111a)". The record is from miRBase by way of RNAcentral. Lineage: Eukaryota; Viridiplantae; Streptophyta; Magnoliopsida; Brassicales; Brassicaceae.